GUGCUAUACAUGCAGUCGAGCGGACCGACGGGAGCUUGCUCCCUUAGGUCAGCGGCGGACGGGUGAGUAACACGUGGGUAACCUGCCUGUAAGACUGGGAUAACUCCGGGAAACCGGGGCUAAUACCGGAUGCUUGAUUGAACCGCAUGGUUCAAUCAUAAAAGGUGGCUUUCAGCUACCACUUGCAGAUGGACCCGCGGCGCAUUAGCUAGUUGGUGAGGUAACGGCUCACCAAGGCGACGAUGCGUAGCCGACCUGAGAGGGUGAUCGGCCACACUGGGACUGAGACACGGCCCAGACUCCUACGGGAGGCAGCAGUAGGGAAUCUUCCGCAAUGGACGAAAGUCUGACGGAGCAACGCCGCGUGAGUGAUGAAGGUUUUCGGAUCGUAAAACUCUGUUGUUAGGGAAGAACAAGUACCGUUCGAAUAGGGCGGUACCUUGACGGUACCUAACCAGAAAGCCACGGCUAACUACGUGCCAGCAGCCGCGGUAAUACGUAGGUGGCAAGCGUUGUCCGGAAUUAUUGGGCGUAAAGCGCGCGCAGGCGGUUUCUUAAGUCUGAUGUGAAAGCCCCCGGCUCAACCGGGGAGGGUCAUUGGAAACUGGGGAACUUGAGUGCAGAAGAGGAGAGUGGAAUUCCACGUGUAGCGGUGAAAUGCGUAGAGAUGUGGAGGAACACCAGUGGCGAAGGCGACUCUCUGGUCUGUAACUGACGCUGAGGCGCGAAAGCGUGGGGAGCGAACAGGAUUAGAUACCCUGGUAGUCCACGCCGUAAACGAUGAGUGCUAAGUGUUAGAGGGUUUCCGCCCUUUAGUGCUGCAGCAAACGCAUUAAGCACUCCGCCUGGGGAGUACGGUCGCAAGACUGAAACUCAAAGGAAUUGACGGGGGGCCCGCACAAGCGGUGGAGCAUGUGGUUUAAUUUCAAAGCAACGCGAANAAACCUUACCAGGUCUUGACAUCCUCUGACAACCCCAAAAGAUAGGG
This 988-nucleotide ribosomal RNA is filed under the name Bacillus licheniformis. Its description in RNAcentral is "bacterial SSU rRNA". It matches the Rfam family "Bacterial small subunit ribosomal RNA", at positions 44 to 1011 of the family's 1533-position model. The record is from RNAcentral. Lineage: Bacteria; Bacillati; Bacillota; Bacilli; Caryophanales; Bacillaceae.